This 1358-nucleotide unclassified non-coding RNA is filed under the name uncultured Bordetella sp. Its description in RNAcentral is "partial 16S-23S ribosomal RNA intergenic spacer". The stretch from base 423 to 1358 matches the Rfam family "Bacterial small subunit ribosomal RNA". The record is from RNAcentral. Lineage: Bacteria; Pseudomonadati; Pseudomonadota; Betaproteobacteria; Burkholderiales; Alcaligenaceae.
UUACCUUGUCAGCGACUCACCCAGUCAUGACCUACCGUAUCGCCCUCCUUACGGUUAGCUAAUUACUUCUGGUAAAACCCACUUCCCAUGGUGAUGCGGCGGUGCGGGGGCCACACUCCGGGAACGUAUCGCGACAUGCUGAUCCGCGAUAUGACCUGAUUACCGGCGGGGUCGGACGACUGAGAACCGGACACGGGGGUUUCAGAGACGGAUUACCCCCGCGGGCCGGCGACUCGGGUCCCGACUACAGGCGACGUGUGAGCCCCGUUAGUUAUGAGGAUUUUCCGGGCGUCAUCCCCAUUUUCCUCCGGUUUACGCAGUCCCAUUAGAGUGCCCCUUUCGGCAAUUCAAUGACAAGGGUCGCGCUUCGCCGGGACCCUAACCCAACAUCCACGACACGAAGGGACGACUACUACGCAAAAAAAAAACGGGGCCCACCCCCGGGCCCCGGGGUCUUUACACCCCGUCCAGACACAAGGGGGGGGGCCGCCGCACCGAACCCAACCACGACCGUCGCGCGUAAACCCCGUCACCCGAGUUUUAACCGCGGCGGCGGCCGCGCCACCAAGGCCCGAAGGCAGCCUCCUGGGAUAACACUGACGCUCAUGCACGAAAGCGUGGGGAGCAAAUACUAUCAGAUAGAUACCCUGGUAGUCCACGCCCUAAACGAUGUCAACUAGCUGUUGGGGCCUUCCGGGCCUUGGUAGCGCAGCUAACGCGUGAAGUUGACCGCCUGGGGAGUACGGUCGCAAGAUUAAAACUCAAAGGAAUUGACGGGGACCCGCACAAGCGGUGGAUGAUGUGGAUUAAUUCGAUGCAACGCGAAAAACCUUACCUACCCUUGACAUGUCUGGAAUCCCGAAGAGAUUUGGGAGUGCCUCGUAAGAGAACCGGAACACAGGUGCUGCAUGGCUGUCGUCAGCUCGUGUCGUAGAUGUUGGGGUUAAGUCUCGCAACGAGCGCAACCUUUGUCAUUAGUUGCUACGAAAGGGCACUCUACGAGACUGCCGGUGACCAAACCGGAGGAAGGUGGGGAUGACGCCAAGUCCUCAUGGCCCUUUAGCGGGUAGGCUUCACACGUCAUACAAUGGUCGGGACAGAGGGUCGCUAACCCGCGAGGGGGAGCCAAUCCCAGAAACCCGGAUCGUAGUCCGGAUCGCAGUCUGCAACUCGACUGCGUGAAGUCGAAUCGCUAGUAAUCGCGGAUCAGCAUGUCGCGGUGAAUACGUUCCCGGGUCUUGUACACACCGCCCGCUACACCAUGGGAGUGGGUUUUACCAGAAGUAGUUAGCCUAACCGUAAGGAGGGCGAUUACCACGGUAGGAUUCAUGACUGGGGUGAAGUCGUAAUGAAGGUAA